Molecule: long non-coding RNA, 3928 nt
Organism: Coturnix japonica (Japanese quail)
Lineage: Eukaryota; Metazoa; Chordata; Aves; Galliformes; Phasianidae
Source: RefSeq, a predicted model, not a curated record
AGUAUUUUAAUAAUGCAUUUAACUUGGAGGUUUUAAUCUCCACCUGCAGGAAAGUUGUUUAGAGUCACAGCUUGAACUGGUGAUUGAGCACCUGGUGAAGAGGUGUGGAUGGCCCAGGGGGCACAAAUUGUUGGCACAUGUGCUCCCUGAUGGAUCAGAAGAAAAGGGCUCAGGGUGGAGCCAAUCUGGGCUCAUAUAAAAGUCAGCUGCUGAAGGGAGAGCAUCUCUUGGGCCUUGGCUGCUUUUUGAGAAGGAGUGCUGUGUAGCCAGAGAUGCCUCUUUGCCAGUGGGAUUUCUCCUCUGAGAAACAGAACCAAAAGUAGAAGUAUGUAAACAGCCAGGUACUCCUAGCCGCUCCUGAUGUCAGUAAGUACCUCAUCCUAAAGUAUUACAAGUAAUUAAAAUGCAAGAUUGUUUGCAAGGAGUCACACUGAUUAAGACAAGACAAUAUUCAUGAUGUAAUCUGGUCUUGGAACUCCUUAGCUGUCAUGAAAGCAUAAAAAAGCCCUCUGUGCUGUGGAGACCGCCAUUAAAAUCCUAAACCCUAAUCCACAGCUCUAUUACAGAAGAUGCUUUUAAGUUUGCACUGAAGAAAGUAUAUGAUUACAUAUAUCCAACAGAACUAUUAACUGUAGCUCAUUUAAUACAAAUAAUCAUGCCCACAUGAGAUAAAAUAUAAUCAGGAAAAUACAAAUGUGCACACACCUGUAGCUAAAUUAAGGACCUAAAGCUUGCAUAUCCCAGAUUGAAAUCAGACAUGCUACAAUCUUUAUAGUUAUUUUCAUAUUUAUGUUAACAACUUAUAAUAAAAUAUACAUUUUAUUUGAAUAUGGUUGUAAAGAAACAGCAGAAAUUUAGCCAUGAGAAGAUUUAAAGAUGAGGCAUUAAGUGACAGAUCUGCAAAGAUUCUUUUUCUCCUCAAGAAAUGAGGAAUAUACAAAACGAGUUUUGUAUUCAAUACAAUCUCUAGAGUAGCACUUAGCACAUAACUUAUACAGCAUACACUUCUAGUCAUCAAAUGCACCACAGUAUCUGAGCUCUUGCAUCUCUUCACUUGCUUUUCUAUACAUUUUUGCAAGCCAUGUACCAGGAUUCUAGAAAAGGCCACAUCUUCAAACUUGAAUGCUCAGACCUCCAGUGGUUGCUUUUCUUUGUACAUCACUCAGAGUUACAAAAUUGCCUUUCUGAGACCAGAAUCAGCUGAGGGGAAUGGGUCAUGCUUAUUUAAAAUACAAUAUCUAGCUUUCAACAAAAAACACUGAGUCAGUCACAGAUGAACAUUAACACAUUUCCGUUGCUUUGAAGUAAAUAAGUAAAAUAAUAUUAUCUAUUAAAAAAGUGUUCAUUUGUGAAUCCUGAGACAGCUUUUUGAAAUCGGGCUUUCUCUGAGGGGAAUAUGAAAUGAAAUGACAUUUCUCUGGUAUAUGACCUCUCUGUUAUCUCUCUGUUAUUGAGAUUAUAUGGCAUGCUCUUCUUUUCGGCUUAUGUCUCAGGUGCUUGCACACUGGAGCUUGCUCACAUUGCCCAGUGGUUUAAGCUGCACAACAAUUAAAAGCCAUACUUCAUCUGCCCUAAAUGAAGAGACCAGCAGUGCUGUCACGUCACUUCCAUAGCCUGUUUCUUUACUCGAGACUACAAAUAAAUCCUAGCUCAAUACUACUUUAUUUCAAAGGAAUUCAUUGCAUUGUUAUAAGAAUUGCAUCACAUAUACACAUAUUCUGCACUACUUGAACAGCUUCAUCUUAAUAAAUAUUUGUGAGGUACUACAAGAAGCAUUGCUUACAGGCUAUUUUUAAACAGUAUAUAAACCUCCUCCACUAGAUGGCUCUGAUGCUACAUACAUCAAAGCUGUUUGAACACUUACAUACUUACAUGUGUACACCUCUAAGUAGCUAUUAAGAAAGGCAGUUGAUACUGACAUAUUCAGAUAAUUGGUAAUCAGACAAAAAUAAAAGAUGUGAGAUGAAGUCAAUACAUAUGUACACAUGUGUACAUUCAACAAAAUAUUGAUAUAUUACAAUAUACAUUAUAUAUAUUAUUAUUAUUAUAUAAUAUAUAUAAUAUAUACAAUAAAAAAGUGAAACAUGCUCUUGCAUAGCAAACGCACAGUAAGUGUUAAAAGAAAUUUAAGCUGCACCUGUGUUCCCCUUCUGACCAGAAGGGGUGGAGCCACCCCAGGAUAUAAGAGCCAGACACUGAAGAGGGAGCAUCUCUUGGGCCUAAGCUGCUUACUGAGAAGGGGUGUUGUGUAGCCGGAGCUCCCCUUCACUAGCAGGGUGAGUUUAACUCUUUCUUUUUCUGUAUGUGACUAUUGGUGUUCCUGUGGGUUCUUUGCCUAGUAUUACUAAGGAUCUGCUGGAAGCAAUUUUGCUUCUUUGUGGGCACAAGAAGCAACCUCAAAACUCUUCUAGUAGCCAUGUUUCUAUUGUUGGUAAUUUAAAUUGCUGGGUUUGGGGUCUACUUGUGUUUGCUUUGUAUGUUUGGAUCAGUCUGCAAAAUUAGUAAAGAAAAAAACACAAGAUUUGUACUCUGAGUUGCAGCUACAUCAUGAAGUGCUAUCUUAACCUUUUUUCAUUUGCAUUCUUCGUUUGUAUUCCACCACUUUCUAUCCAGACAGGUGUUCACUACUGCAAACUCUGUAGGCAACUGAUUCAAUUUUCCUUCAUCUAAAAAACCUACUCAUUGUGUAAAAUGAAUGAUCUACAUAUGUAGAUUUUAAAAAGCAUACAUAUGCAAAUCUUCCUUAUUUUAAGAAUGCAUAUGCGUGUUUUCCUUUUAAGGCAAGGCUGGUGAAGAGCAAAUCAAAUACUUCCAUUUAACAGGUGUUUAGUGUUUCUGUAAUACUAAAUGCCUUGAGAUUAAAAAAAAAAACCAACCAAAACUUUGACAAAUAUAAGAAACCAUCAAAUGUUUUGUGCUUUUUCUUUACCACUUUAAUUAUUUAGCAUCUCAUUGCUACCUGGAUUUUGUUUAAAAUAAACAAACGCUUUUCAGGUUAUCUGUUAUUCAAUACGCCUUUUUUCAUCCAUGUUUAUCUUCAGCUUUUAUAUUCAAAAAGUGAGUGAAGAUCUUUCAGUACUGACUCUAAAAUCAGAUCGAAUAUUUAGCAUUGAGCAAACCUAAAAAAGAAUACACAAGAGUGUUUUGAAGCAUCCAUUUUCCUGAAGGAAAUUCAACACAACUACUGUUUCCUCCGUUUCUAUUCUUCUGGUCCUGCUUGUAAUUCACUGUUAAAUACCAGCCAUUCAAUUCUCCAUUUAUUUAAUGUUAUUCAUUUAUUUUGCACUUGCUAUCGUUUGGGGAAUUUUUGACUCAAAGCAUUUUUACUUUGACUGCAAAAGGAGAUGAAAUAUUUGCAGAAAGCGAUACUAUUUUGUGCUAAAAAUAACAACUUAAUCCUACAAACCUGUUUAAAUUUCCCUCUGAUUUUUUCCAGGUCGUCUUGAAGCUUUUCGUAAGUGGGGUCUUCAUAUGGGAACUUCUGUAUCAUUCCUAUUAAUGAAUCCAGGGCCCUCAUCUUUUUACUGAAAGAAAGCCACAAAAAAUGGCUAAAGGAACUUCCUCCACCAGUGUUUACAUGUUACAGUGGGAACAUCUGGGAGCUUUAUUCUUCUGGGAGCUGUGUAUGUUAAAAUACAUGUGCUUGGGAGCUCACAUCUCCAUAAAUACUCAAACAUAAAAGAAAGCGAGGCGGUUUCAUCUGCAUGCACCAAAGCCGUUUGGACACCACAGUGAGCCUUCCCAGACCUCAUUUAAGGGUUGGUAGUGGAGAUGAGGGUAUCUUGCUGGAGAUCCCUGCCCACCUGAGGCCCUUCUAAAGGUAGGCAGGUUCUUAUUUUUUGCCCUUUAUUUCUACACCCACGGCUGCUGUAUUUGGGCACAUCCUCACAUCGUGAAGCGUAGUAGCUGCAGCCUUUCUUCCCCACUG